Pogoniulus pusillus (Red-fronted tinkerbird) is the source of this 311-nucleotide long non-coding RNA. RefSeq lists it as uncharacterized. The transcript is spliced from 2 exons. Lineage: Eukaryota; Metazoa; Chordata; Aves; Piciformes; Lybiidae. The record is from RefSeq and is a predicted model, not a curated record.
GUGAAAUAGUGAAGGAUGAGCAACUAAAAUCUACCAAACCUGGGGGGAGUUUGAGCUUCUGCACCUGCUAUGCUCCCCAAAGUGUGUGUGGGCUCUGCUGUUUUUUUGGUUUUUCUUAAGGAAAAAGCCCUUUCCAAAAUUUUCUGGCUUUCAGACUUGGCAAGUAACUUAGCAAAACAAACACUGAAUGAAUGCCGAGAGAAGAGCAUCUGAUUAGAUGUUGCAUGUUAAUCAUAACCCUAUUUUAUUUCUGUUUUCAAACAGUAGAACAGAAUAAGCCACAUUAAAAGUAUGACCUUUGAAAGCCACAA